GAUAAACGCUGGCGGCGCACAUAAGACAUGCAAGUCGAACGGACUUAACUCGAAGUUUACUUUGAGAGCGGUUAGUGGCGGACUGGUGAGUAACGCGUGAGCAACCUGCCUACUAGAGGGGAAUAACAGUGAGAAAUCACUGCUAAUACCGCAUAAGCGCACAGUGCUGCAUGGCACAGUGUGAAAAACUCCGGUGGUAUGAGAUGGACCCGCGUCUGAUUAGCUAGUUGGUGGGGUAACGGCCUACCAAGGCGACGAUCAGUAGCCGGCCUGAGAGGGUGAACGGCCACAUUGGGACUGAGACACGGCCCAA
RNAcentral lists this ribosomal RNA (313 nucleotides) under uncultured bacterium. RNAcentral describes it as "bacterial SSU rRNA". It matches the Rfam family "Bacterial small subunit ribosomal RNA", at positions 28 to 334 of the family's 1533-position model. The record is from RNAcentral.